UACGGGGGGGGCAAGCGUUGUUCGGAAUUACUGGGCGUAAAGGGCUCGUAGGCGGCCAACUAAGUCAGACGUGAAAUCCCCAGGCUCAACCUGGGAACUGCGUCUGAUACUGGAUGGCUUGAAUCCGGGAGAGGGAUGCAGAAUUCCAGGUGUAGCGGUGAAAUGCGUAGAUAUCUGGAGGAAUACCGGUGGCGAAGGCGGCAUCCUGGACCGGCAUUAACGCUGAGGAGCGAAAGCCAGGGGAGCAAACGGG
This 253-nucleotide ribosomal RNA is filed under the name uncultured bacterium. RNAcentral's name for it is "partial 16S ribosomal RNA". It matches the Rfam family "Bacterial small subunit ribosomal RNA", at positions 524 to 776 of the family's 1533-position model. The record is from RNAcentral.